AUGAUGCGAUCAAUUGAGGCAUUUGUAUGACCGUGACGAUGAGUUACAUCUCCGUG
RNAcentral lists this small nucleolar RNA (56 nucleotides) under Trypanosoma cruzi. RNAcentral's name for it is "C/D small nucleolar RNA (snoRNA)". The record is from RNAcentral. Lineage: Eukaryota; Euglenozoa; Kinetoplastea; Trypanosomatida; Trypanosomatidae.